RNAcentral lists this ribosomal RNA (371 nucleotides) under Dinera ferina. Its description in RNAcentral is "partial 16S ribosomal RNA". The record is from RNAcentral. Lineage: Eukaryota; Metazoa; Arthropoda; Insecta; Diptera; Tachinidae.
CAUAAUCAGUAGUCUUUUAAUUGAAGGCUGGUAUGAAUGGUUGGACAAAUAUUAACUGUUUCAUAAAUAUUUUAAUUAAAAUUUUAUUUUUUAGUUAAAAAGCUAAAAUUUAUUUAAAAGACGAGAAGACCCUAUAAAUCUUUAUAAUUUAAUUAUUAAGAAUUUUUAGAAUUGUUUUGUUAUAAUAAUAAAAAUUAUUUUAUUGGGGUGAUAUUAAAAUUUAAUUAACUUUUAAUUUAUUAAUUCAUUAAUUUAUGUAUAAUUGAUCCAUUAUUAAUGAUUAAAAAAAUAAGUUACUUUAGGGAUAACAGCGUAAUUUUUUUGGUGAGUUCAUAUCAAUAAAAAAGAUUGCGACCUCGAUGUUGGAUUAA